RNAcentral lists this transfer RNA (70 nucleotides) under Thraupis episcopus (blue-gray tanager). Its description in RNAcentral is "Tangara episcopus (blue-gray tanager) tRNA-Glu". The record is from RNAcentral. Lineage: Eukaryota; Metazoa; Chordata; Aves; Passeriformes; Thraupidae.
AUUCCUGUAGUUAAAUUUCGUAACGGCAGCUUUUCAGGCUGUAGAUCUUGGAGAAAGGCCGAGCGGGAAU